UAACAUAUUAGUCAUAAACCAAGAAUUUUUAGCAGAUUCUCCUGAUUCAAUAACAUUAUCAAGAGGAGAUUUAGUGGAAGUUCUGAAAAUAAGUGAAGGCAAUCCCUUUCCAAAAGGAAAAUUACGUGAUUUAAAUCCUGAGCUCAAUUCGAGAUGGUACGUGAGAUUAUUCGGAUCAAAUGAGAAUUGCAAAGAAGGAUGGAUUCCAACCAAGAUAUUGGAUUUUUCACCCGAUUCUGUAUCCGUAUUUGGCAAUAAAGGAGAUGAUCCCGC
Rhagoletis pomonella (apple maggot) is the source of this 273-nucleotide long non-coding RNA. RefSeq lists it as uncharacterized. The transcript is spliced from 3 exons. Lineage: Eukaryota; Metazoa; Arthropoda; Insecta; Diptera; Tephritidae. The record is from RefSeq and is a predicted model, not a curated record.